This 449-nucleotide ribosomal RNA is filed under the name uncultured bacterium. RNAcentral describes it as "bacterial SSU rRNA". It matches the Rfam family "Bacterial small subunit ribosomal RNA", at positions 28 to 469 of the family's 1533-position model. The record is from RNAcentral.
GAUGAACGCUAGCGGCAGGCUUAACACAUGCAAGUCGAGGGGCAGCACGUCUUCGGAUGGUGGCGACCGGCGCACGGGUGCGUAACGCGUAUAGAACCUACCUUUUACAGGGGAAUAGCCCAGAGAAAUUUGGAUUAAUGCCCCAUAGUAUUAUUAGAUGGCAUCAUUUGGUAAUUAAACAUUUAUGGGUAAAAGAUGGCUAUGCGUUCUAUUAGCUAGAUGGUAAGGUAACGGCUUACCAUGGCGACGAUAGAUAGGGGUCCUGAGAGGGAGAUCCCCCACACUGGUACUGAGACACGGACCAGACUCCUACGGGAGGCAGCAGUGAGGAAUAUUGGACAAUAGGGCGGAGAGCCUCGAUCCAGCCACUGCCGCCGUGCAGGAAGACGGUCCUACUGGAGUUGUAAACUAGCUUUAUUACAGGAAGAAACACUCCCUCCGUGAGGGAA